This 253-nucleotide ribosomal RNA is filed under the name uncultured bacterium. RNAcentral describes it as "partial 16S ribosomal RNA". It matches the Rfam family "Bacterial small subunit ribosomal RNA", at positions 524 to 776 of the family's 1533-position model. The record is from RNAcentral.
UACGAAGGUCCCAAGCGUUAUCCGGAUUUAUUGGGUUUAAAGGGUGCGUAGGCGGCCUAUUAAGUCAGGGGUGAAAGACGGUAGCUUAACUAUCGCAGUGCCUUUGAUACUGAUGGGCUUGAAUACACUAGAGGUAGGCGGAAUGUGACAAGUAGCGGUGAAAUGCAUAGAUAUGUCACAGAACACCAAUUGCGAAGGCAGCUUACUAUGGUGCAAUUGACGCUGAGGCACGAAAGCGUGGGGAUCAAACAGG